RNAcentral lists this ribosomal RNA (274 nucleotides) under uncultured bacterium. Its description in RNAcentral is "partial 16S ribosomal RNA". It matches the Rfam family "Bacterial small subunit ribosomal RNA", at positions 523 to 796 of the family's 1533-position model. The record is from RNAcentral.
ACACGGAGGUCGCAAGCGUUGCUCGGAAUCACUGGGCGUAAAGCGCGCGUAGGCGGCUUAUUAAGUCAGAUGUGAAAUCCCCGGGCUCAACCUGGGAACUGCAUCUGAUACUGGUAGGCUAGAGUUUUGGAGAGGGAAGUAGAAUUUCAGGUGUAGCGGUUAAAUGCAUAGAGAUCUGAAGGAAUACCAGUGGCGAAGGCGACUUCCUGGCCAAAAACUGACGCUGAGGUGCGAAAGCGUGGGGAGCGAACAGGAUUAGAAACCCUAGUAGUCC